Molecule: unclassified non-coding RNA, 626 nt
Filed under: Hevea brasiliensis (rubber tree)
Lineage: Eukaryota; Viridiplantae; Streptophyta; Magnoliopsida; Malpighiales; Euphorbiaceae
Source: RNAcentral
UAUUAUUAUUAUUAUUAUUAUCUCCUGUUGUUCCCUCAGCUCUCAUUUCUUAAAUUCCUGUGCUUUCUACAGGUAUAUUGAAAUUUAGUCCUGAGAUAUAUCGUUGACCCUCUGCUCAUAUAAUCACUGAGAGCCUAUCUUCUUGACAGAUAACCAAAAGAACAAAAAAACUCUUUUCUUCGUGCACCGUAUCAGGUAGACUGGACUAACGUGCUCUUCAUUCAAUAACAGCAGAACAAUAUAUUACUCUUGGAAUUUCAUCAGAUUCAAAUUUGGUGAUAGAAAAUUGUUCUGCUUCAAUUAGCUGAAGCUCAAAUUUUAUUUUUUUGAAGUCUCAUCAUCUAUGGAUACUUUAUAAAUAUUAAAAAAAAAAUCACAAGAUUCGUGCACCCACCGCCCCAAUUUAAAUUCUCAAUUUUCGCUAUGAUGACGCCCAUGUCCUCAUUGAAGAUAGCAAGCUGUCUUGCUUUUGCUUGUAGGAAACAUGUGGUGUGCUGUUGAUGCACGUUUCCACCUAAAAUCGAAUUCUCACUCUCCUUUAUUAAGGCAGCUGGAUUAAGAUCAAAUAAGAUGCAUGGGCUGGGGCGGUGGUGCACAUCAUGGGCUCUAAUUUCUUCAUAUAAAAG